Molecule: ribosomal RNA, 259 nt
Filed under: uncultured bacterium
Lineage: Bacteria
Description: partial 16S ribosomal RNA
Rfam family: Bacterial small subunit ribosomal RNA
Source: RNAcentral
GAUCAUGGCUCAGGAUGAACGCUAGCUACAGGCUUAACACAUGCAAGUGAGGGGCAGCAUUUUAGUUUGCUUGCAAACUAAAGAUGGCGACCGGCGCACGGGUGAGUAACACGUAUCCAACCUGCCGAUAACUCGGGGAUAGCCUUUCGAAAGAAAGAUUAAUAUCCGAUAGUAUAUUAAAACCGCAUGGUUUUACUAUUAAAGGGAAUUUCGGUUAUCGAUGGGGAUGCGUUCCAUUAGUUUGUUGGCGGGGUAACGG